CCUACGGGGGGCAGCAGUGGGGGAUAUUGCACAAUGGGGGGAACCCUGAUGCAGCGACGCCGCGUGGGUGAAGGAGUGCUUCGGCAUGUAAAGCCCUAUCGGCAGGGAAGAAGCAAGACGGUACCUGACUAAGAAGCCCCGGCUAACUACGUGCCAGCAGCCGCGGUACUACGUAGGGGGCGAGCGUUAUCCGGAUUCACUGGGUGUAACGGGCGCGUAGACGGCCAUGCAAGCCAGGGGGGAAAGGCCGGGGCCCAACCCCGGGACUGCCGUUGGAACUGCAUGGCGAGAGGGCGGGAGGGGCAGGCGGAAUUCGUGGUGUAGCGGUGAAAUGCGUAGAUAUCAGGAGGAACACCGGCGGCGAAGGCGGCCUGCUGGACCGCGACUGACGUUGAGGCUCGAAAGCGUGGGGAGCGAACAGGAUUAGAUACCCCAGUAGUC
This 441-nucleotide ribosomal RNA is filed under the name uncultured bacterium. RNAcentral's name for it is "partial 16S ribosomal RNA". It matches the Rfam family "Bacterial small subunit ribosomal RNA", at positions 338 to 795 of the family's 1533-position model. The record is from RNAcentral.